Molecule: ribosomal RNA, 585 nt
Filed under: Scarus prasiognathos (Singapore parrotfish)
Lineage: Eukaryota; Metazoa; Chordata; Actinopteri; Labriformes; Labridae
Description: partial 16S ribosomal RNA
Rfam family: Bacterial large subunit ribosomal RNA
Source: RNAcentral
ACAUCGCCUCUUGCAAAAUCAACAAAUAAGAGGUCCCGCCUGCCCUGUGACUAUAUGUUUAACGGCCGCGGUAUUUUGACCGUGCGAAGGUAGCGCAAUCACUUGUCUUUUAAAUGGAGACCUGUAUGAAUGGCACGACGAGGGCUUAACUGUCUCCUUUCCCAAGUCAAUGAAAUUGAUCUCUCCGUGCAGAAGCGGAGAUAGACCCAUAAGACGAGAAGACCCUAUGGAGCUUCAGACACUAAAACAGCUCAUGUUAAAAACCCUCACAAAAGAGACUAAACUAGAUGAUCCCUGUCCUAAUGUCUUUGGUUGGGGCGACCACGGGGUAACAAAAAACCCCCGCGCGGAACAGAGACACUGUUUCCAGAACCAAGAGCACCCGCUCUAAGUAACAAGACCCACUUGACCCUCGAGAUCCGGCACUAAGCCGAUCAACGGACCGAGUUACCCUAGGGAUAACAGCGCAAUCUUCUUCGAGAGUUCAUAUCGACGAGAAGGUUUACGACCUCGAUGUUGGAUCAGGACAUCCUAAUGGUGCAGCCGCUAUUAAGGGUUCGUUUGUUCAACGAUUAAAGUCCUACG